GAUGAACGCUAGCUACAGGCUUAACACAUGCAAGUUGCGGGGCAGCAUGUCGGUUGCUUGCAACCGAUGAUGGCGACCGGCGCACGGGUGAGUAACGCGUAUCCAACCUACCCUUCACCACGGAAUAAUCCAGUGAAAAUUGGUCUAAUACCGUAUGAGGUCAUACGAUGGCAUCAGAAUAUGACGAAAGGUUUAGCGGUGAAGGAUGGGGAUGCGUCUGAUUAGCUUGUUGGUGAGGUAACGGCUCACCAAGGCGACGAUCAGUAGGGUCUGAGAGGAAGGUCCCCCCACAUUGGAACUGAGACACGGUCCAAACUCCUACGGGAGGCAGCAGUGAGGAAUAUUGGUCAAUGGGCGAGAGCCUGAACCAGCCAAGUAGCGUGCAGGACGACGGGCCCCUAUGGGUUGUAAACUGCUUUUUAUAUGGGGAUAAAGUGAGUUACGUGUAGCUUAUUGAGAGUACCCGAGAAAAAGCAUCGGCUAACUCCGUGCCAG
RNAcentral lists this ribosomal RNA (495 nucleotides) under uncultured bacterium. Its description in RNAcentral is "bacterial SSU rRNA". It matches the Rfam family "Bacterial small subunit ribosomal RNA", at positions 28 to 511 of the family's 1533-position model. The record is from RNAcentral.